UAAGUCAUUUUGCCGCAGCAUACACACGUCGGACGAGUACAUCACAUCUUUGGAGAUUUUGUUUUUCUUUUAUGCUUCAUUUGUUUGUUUGCUUCUUUUAGCUAAAUGGAACUGACAACGAAGUCUGCAAAUACGCAUUGGCUUAGAUCUUGGAAGCAGAGGGGACCUGGCAAGGAAGGAAGCAAGGAUAGGCCAGUUUUCAGUUAAGGAGGUGGUGUGGAGAAGAAUUGGGGAAAUCAAAUAAGGCAGCCCAUCUGCAAUACCUGAUUAUCCUUUUGAGUGUGGCCUCUUUUUGCCAAUUAAGUCCAAAGGUGCCUAUAUUCUUCAAACUGGCAGCGUAGCCACAACUGUUGAUUAUCGCACAGCUUUUGUGGGUUAGGAAUCUAGAAGUGAUUUAGCUGUGUGCUUCUGACUUGGUUAUCUCGCAAAUCAAGCUGUUGGCCAGGGCUGCAGUCGCUGAGACUUGAUUGGGGCUGGAGGUUCCUCUUCCAGGCUCCUUCCCAGUGGCUUUUGGCCAGAAACUGCACCAUCAGCCUUUCUUUAAGGCUCUGCGUGAUGUGCCUUCCCCACUAAUCUAAUCUCCGACGUGGUGUACGGUCAUGUCUGCUGUUUUUUCUUUGUGAGGAGACAGUCAUGAAGCCCAGCCCACACCCAGGAGGAGGGAAGAUAGGAAGGUCCUGAGCAUCUAUUGCAAAUCAGUUCUCUCACAGCUCUACAUUCUGCCUCCACAGAAUAAUGAAAAUAUAUAUGUUUUGGAAUCAAGGCAAGCAUCACAAGCCAGGUAGCCACACUGUGGACUGAAAGAUAAGUGGAGAGCCAGAAGAGGAAAACAGACCCAAGGAUGAUUAAUUUUCCCUGAACCAGAACAGCAUACUCUGAUCGGAGAAAACCAGCCUCACUUAACAUUUAACAAACCACUAUCCACAGAAUGAAUUUCCAUGGUAACCCAGGGCUGCAGAGUACCAAACUUCUGGAUCAGCCCAUUUUGUGCGUCCUGGUCACAUCUUGUGCCAUCUGACUCUUACUGAAUGUCUGCUGUGCGUAAGGCUUGUGGUGCGUCUCAUCAUUACCAGAUAGAAUUUGGACGAAACCCAACCACCCUCUCCAAUUCAAAAUGUACUUUAGGAAGAAGAUUGAGCAGAAAUGUAAUUCCGUUGCCUUGUUCAGAGACUGUACAAGCAUCCAUUUGGAAUGAGACACUACACAUUAAGCCUAGUCCUGAUGCUCCAGGCAGGCCCACUUCAGCUCGCUCUGUCGGCUGAAUCCAGGAUACUGGGAUGAAUAUAAUCACAUGUCCAACUGACUACACAGCCAGAGAAAGCUCGAGAAAAGCCAGGCUGAGAGUCAGGGCUGUGCUGUUCACAGAUAGACCUAAACCGAUCUGUCUUUUGACUGUGCAGUUGGGAAGGAAGGCUCCUUACAUUGGAUUGAGGUCCAUGACCCUCCAACAGCUGGAAGAGACUAGGAUGACACUUGGCCAAUAAUAACCUUGCCUUCAGAGACACGCACCAAGCUUACCAGUUGUCGGAAAUUCCCGCGAGGAGCUCUCACCCUGCACGAGUCUUGUCAGAUACAAAAAUCUAAAGCUGACUGAGGAUUUGCUCUCAGCUUGGCAUUCUGCCAGAAACUUUGCCAAGAAUUUGUUGCUUAAACUUUCCUCUGUCUCUGUGAUAUUGUUUUUAAUCAAUCCCAUUUUCCAGAGGGGAAAACUCAGGCUCAAAGAGAUGAAUUCACUUGAAUGGAGUCACGAGCUACACGGUGGUAGAACCAAAGUGGUCUGACCCCAGAGCCUACGCUCCUUUCAGCUCUGCUUUGCCGCCGCAAUCCCCAGCUCCUUUACUUGGCAAGGAGAAUUGUGUAUAUGGGCUGCAGGGCCCACACAGAGGCGUCUUCUUGGGCUCUCCUCUGCUCUGCCGGAAUAUAGAGGAGAGACUGACUUGGCUGAACCAUGGCCCUUUGUCAUUUGUGGAAAUGUGGAAAAAGGUAUUUGCUCCCUGCUGUUCACUGAUCUAAUUUGAGGAUUGAUUUGAUUCAUUUCUAAAUAGUUUUUACAAAUUAAUUUAGCAGCAGUGUGCUGUAGUGGUAAAGAACACAGGCUUAGGAACCAGCCUGCCUGGAAUGAGUAUCAACCCUGCCUCUUGUAGCUAAUGAACUUUACCCUUUAUCUAUAGGAUAAAGGUGAUCAUGGGUCCCACUCUGGACGAUUGCUGUGAAAAUUAAAGUGCUUGGAAGUGUACUGAGCAUAGAGUUAGCCCUCAAUUAGACAUUAAAAACGAUUACUUCGCUUGCUGUUUUCAGAAAGUAAGUGCACUUGCAAAAUCUCUUCCCUGGUAUGCUUUGGAAUUCAGAAUUUGGGGGAUUUGGGAGAGUAACAGGGUGUCCGUGCUGUAUACGCUCUAUGACAUGACUUCCUCAGUGGGAUCUGGAACAGCACAGCCGUGGUCAAACGGGAAUAUUUCUGCAGCAAAAUGUGUGACUUCUUACUCUCCGUGGGAUAAGCAGAGAUGGUGGUAAGUCUCCUGUCAGCUUUUGUGGCCAAGUGAGUUUGCCUGGCACUGUAAAUGAAUGGAUUAGCAAUGAGAUCCUGCUGUGUAGCCCUGAGAACUCUGUCUGGUCACUUAUGAUGGAGCAUGAUAGUGGGAGAAAAAAGAAUGUCUGCAUGUAUGUGUAACUGGGUCACCAU
Sus scrofa (pig) is the source of this 2683-nucleotide non-coding RNA. The record is from RefSeq and is a predicted model, not a curated record. NCBI's taxonomy places the organism in Eukaryota, Metazoa, Chordata, Mammalia, Artiodactyla, Suidae.